This 253-nucleotide ribosomal RNA is filed under the name uncultured bacterium. Its description in RNAcentral is "partial 16S ribosomal RNA". It matches the Rfam family "Bacterial small subunit ribosomal RNA", at positions 524 to 776 of the family's 1533-position model. The record is from RNAcentral.
UACGUAGGGUGCAAGCGUUAAUCGGAAUUACUGGGCGUAAAGCGUGCGCAGGCGGCUUUGCAAGACAGAUGUGAAAUCCCCGGGCUUAACCUGGGAACUGCAUUUGUGACUGCAUGGCUAGAGUGCGGCAGAGGGGGAUGGAAUUCCGCGUGUAGCAGUGAAAUGCGUAGAUAUCAGGAAGAACACCAAUGGCGAAGGCAGCUCUCUGGGACGGUACUGACGCUGAGACGCGAAAGCGUGGGGAGCGAACAGG